Gallus gallus (chicken) is the source of this 416-nucleotide long non-coding RNA. The record is from Ensembl. Lineage: Eukaryota; Metazoa; Chordata; Aves; Galliformes; Phasianidae.
AAAAUUAUUCAGUGUAGAAUUCCUGGCCUGUGAACCAGAGGCUCCGCACUGUACCAGGCAAAGAUUUUCACCAGCAUUCCGCUUAGCCAAGGCGGAGAUAACAGCGCUGCGAAGCACUUGGAAUAAAUCCGCUCUUCCGAGAUUCCUCCGGGGUGCUCCUCUUCAGCUCUGUUUUCCCCGGGCUUCGUAAGUGCCAUGGCCUGCUGGUGGAGCAAGGCGGGAGGGAGGAGAGCUGCGCGCCGGCGGUGUGCCAGCAUCCCACGUCACGUUGGCCUAAAGAGGUGAUCGCCUCUCGAGAUGAAAUCAGCACACGAGAUUCUAGGCCGUAUGUAAAAGGUGUCUCUGAAACAAAGACAGAAUGAGGAAGAAAGGCCACCUGAAUAUCAACAGCUUCCAUCGGAAGUAAUCUGGGCUCA